Molecule: ribosomal RNA, 482 nt
Filed under: uncultured bacterium
Lineage: Bacteria
Description: partial 16S ribosomal RNA
Rfam family: Bacterial small subunit ribosomal RNA
Source: RNAcentral
GACGAACGCUGGCGGCGUGCUUAACACAUGCAAGUCGAACGAUGAAGAAGAGAAACGCGAACUUCGGUUCAAAUUUCACUUCGGAUUAGUGGCAGACGGGUGAGUAACGCGUGAGCAACCUACCUCUUACAAAGGGAUAGCCUCGGGAAACCGUGAUUAAUACCAUAUGACACAUUCAUAAGGCAUCUUAAGAAUGUUAAAGCUACGGCGGUAAGAGAUGGGCUCGCGUCCCAUUAGCUAGUUGGUGAGGUAACGGCCCACCAAGGCGACGAUGGGUAACCGGCCUGAGAGGGUGAACGGUCACAUUGGAACUGAGACACGGUCCAAACUCCUACGGGAGGCAGCAGUGGGGAAUAUUGCACAAUGGAGGGAACUCUGAUGCAGCGACGCCGCGUGAGCGAUGAAGGAAUUCGUUUCGUAAAGCUCUGUUCUAUGAGAAGAAAAGGACUGUACCAUAGGAGAAAGCCCCGGCUAAAUACGUG